ACCCGCUGAACUUAAGCAUAUCAAUAAGCGGAGGAAAAGAAACUAACAAGGAUUCCCCUAGUAACGGCGAGUGAAGCGGGAAGAGCUCAAAUUUGAGAUCUGGUGGCCUCAGGUCAUCCGAGUUGUAAUCUAUAGAAGUGUUUUCCGUGCUGGCUCAUGUACAAGUCCCUUGGAACAGGGCGUCAUAGAGGGUGAGAAUCCCGUCCUUGACAUGAACUACCAGUGCUCUGUGAUACAUUUUCAACGAGUCGAGUUGUUUGGGAAUGCAGCUCAAAAUGGGUGGUAAAUUCCAUCUAAAGCUAAAUAUUGGCGAGAGACCGAUAGCGAACAAGUACCGUGAGGGAAAGAUGAAAAGCACUUUGGAAAGAGAGUUAAACAGUAUGUGAAAUUGUUGAAAGGGAAACGAUUGAAGUCAGUCGUGCUCUUUGGAUUCAGCCGGUUCUGCCGGUGUACUUCCUUUGAGUGGGGUCAACAUCAGUUUUGAUCGCUGGAUAAAGGCAGGAGGAACGUAGUACCCUCGGGUAAACUUAUAGCCUCUUGUCACAUACAGUGGUUGGGACUGAGGAACGCAGCACGCCUUUAUGGCCGGGAUUCGUCCACGUACGUGCUUAGGAUGUUGACAUAAUGGCUUU
RNAcentral lists this ribosomal RNA (632 nucleotides) under uncultured fungus. RNAcentral describes it as "eukaryotic LSU rRNA". It matches the Rfam family "Eukaryotic large subunit ribosomal RNA", at positions 23 to 641 of the family's 3401-position model. Lineage: Eukaryota; Fungi. The record is from RNAcentral.